GAAACAGUCACUUAGAGGACGUACUGACGCGGUGCUAGUAAUCCCAAAGCUCUUCUAUCCACCUGUGAUGCACACACACAGCCUUUUCGUAUCAACUGCCGCCCUGCCUCGUCUCGAGCCCCUGCCAGCACUGAGGACCAGCUACCAGACAGAUCAUUGCUUGGCCAAAGAGCCAGACUAAGGAUUGAUGAAGGGUGUCGAGGUAAUAUCUGAUGAAAAGUAUGCAGCGACGUGAGGAUUAUCAAGAAUACGCGGGCGAGGAGCAGAACAUAGCCUGUCACCGGAAGGAAAACGUAUAGGAUGAAGAACAUGGUGUACAGUGGAUGUAAAACAGCAUCACACCCUUAGGAGUAUAAAAACUUGAAAGGGGUAAUGAGGAAGCAGUGUAAUACCAUCUUGAUCAUUAAGUAGUGAUGGACGAGGCUACGGUCACCCAACACAAAUCGUUAUCGUUGAUAUCAGAUAGGCACUCGGCAGCCGGUUCUAUGUCCUGACGCAUUUCCGGCUGACUGGGCUGCUAUUGCCUCACUCCUGCCAGCACCCGCACCACCCGCGCCUGUCUGCUGUAUGACGCACUUAACUGCCUCAGACUUGUCAAAUGCAUGCAGCUAUAUUAACCUUUCGACCGCUAAUAAUAAUAUGGACUGCAUUAUCAAAAGGUUUCGUCGUCUUAUCUUUUCUGACUACUUAUUAACAGCCUUUAGUGAAAGUUAUUGGGUAUUCUCAAGGAUGUUUUCAUGGUUUUACUGAGAGUUUGAUAGUGAUUCCGCAUCACCAAGGAGGAAAAUACAUAGCGAGAAAUCAACUAUUCAUGUAUGUGGGUUUUGAAAAGUAAUUUUAAUGAAAGCACAAAAUGUUUAAGAAUGCCGGCCAAUGACACUUAUUUCGUCCAAGUCGCUGUACAUGAUUAUACUAAACAAAAAUAGAAAAAAUAAUAUUAUGUUCUAGAAGUUUUUGAAGACUAUUGCUCUCGGUGGUCUUAAGAAAAAAAAAGAGAGAAAAAAAAAAUCAUACUUUAAACCUGAACUGGAUAAUUUUAUUGCACUUGAGUAGAGAUAGUUAGAGAUCUAGAAAUGAUGAUGAUAUAAAUCCAAUAGAAUGUAGGAAAAUGAUGCUCAAAGAAAGGAUUAUCUGUGUUACAUUUUUCUUUAUAUCAGCAUUAGUCCCCCAUCGCUCUUUCCAAGCUCCGUGUUUAUGUUCCAGGAGCAACUACAGUAAACAUAUAACGCUCUAAUUUAGUUUUGUUAUACCAACCCUGACCACAGUAAGAAAUCACGCCACAAGUAAACAAGAAAAUAUAUGGGAAAAUGCAGAAUACAUGGUAAAAAAAAAAAGAACCCCACGACGACGAAAAAAGCCACUAGGAGCUCACAUCUACACAUUUACUUUUAUUUUUUUCUGACUGGUCACUCACAUCCUAGCCUAGCUCUGUUCCAUUAUAAGUAUGGCUUAACGUAUAAGGAGCUCCGUAUAUGGUAAAACAAGGUAUAUCAAACAAAUUAUACUCAUAGGCACAGUCAUCUAUCCCCUAGGCACUGAAUAUUUUCUUAACUUGACAAAUUCAACCUUGAUUUUUUUUUUAAACCCUGAUAUUUUUCCCCACGAGCAUCUCUCCUUUUAGACAGUUUCUUCUUUGAAUAUGUUUAUCUUUUCUCGGAUAUAUUUUAUAGUACUGUGUGAUAAAAAACUAAAUCAAGUAUGAUUAUAGAAACCAUUGUUGUUCAUAUUGAAGGACUAGUUAGGUUAGAUAAAGAGAGAGUGUGUGCGUGUGUGUGUGUGUGUGUGUGUGUGUGUGUGUGACCAGCAGGAUAACGAUGUUUAGGAAUUUAAUAACUUAGAUUAAGUUAACGCUUGAAAAAU
Scylla paramamosain (green mud crab) is the source of this 1860-nucleotide long non-coding RNA. RefSeq lists it as uncharacterized. The transcript is spliced from 3 exons. NCBI's taxonomy places the organism in Eukaryota, Metazoa, Arthropoda, Malacostraca, Decapoda, Portunidae. The record is from RefSeq and is a predicted model, not a curated record.